GACGAACGCUGGCGGCGUGCUUAACACAUGCAAGUCGAACGGAAAGGCCCUGCUUUUGUGGGGUGCUCGAGUGGCGAACGGGUGAGUAACACGUGAGUAACCUGCCCUUGACUUUGGGAUAACUUCAGGAAACUGGGGCUAAUACCGGAUAGGAGCUCCUGCUGCAUGGUGGGGGUUGGAAAGUUUCGGCGGUUGGGGAUGGACUCGCGGCUUAUCAGCUUGUUGGUGGGGUAGUGGCUUACCAAGGCUUUGACGGGUAGCCGGCCUGAGAGGGUGACCGGCCACAUUGGGACUGAGAUACGGACCAGACUCGUACGGGAGGCAGCAGUGGGGAAUAUUGCACAAUGGGGGGAAGCCUGAUGCAGCAACGCCGCGUGCGGGAUGACGGCCUUCGGGUUGUAAACCGCUUUCGCCUGUGACGAAGCGUGAGUGACGGUAAUGGGUAAAGAAGCACCGGCUAACUACGUG
Molecule: ribosomal RNA, 468 nt
Filed under: uncultured bacterium
Lineage: Bacteria
Description: partial 16S ribosomal RNA
Rfam family: Bacterial small subunit ribosomal RNA
Source: RNAcentral